GAUGAACGCUGGCGGCGUGCUUAACACAUGCAAGUCGAACGAUGAAGCCCAGCUUGCUGGGUGGAUUAGUGGCGAACGGGUGAGUAACACGCGAGUAACCUGCCCUUAACUCUGGGAUAAGCCUGGGAAACUAGGUCUAAUACCGGAUAGGAGCGUCCAUCGCAUGGUGGGUGUUGGAAAGAUUUAUCGGUUUUGGAUGGACUCGCGGCCUAUCAGCUUGUUGGUGAGGUAAUGGCUCACCAAGGCGACGACGGGUAGCCGGCCUGAGAGGGUGACCGGCCACACUGGGACUGAGACACGGCCCAGACUCCUACGGGAGGCAGCAGUGGGGAAUAUUGCACAAUGGGCGAAAGCCUGAUGCAGCGACGCCGCGUGAGGGAUGACGGCCUUCGGGUUGUAAACCUCUUUCAGUAGGGAAGAAGCGAAAGUGACGGUACCUGCAGAAGAAGCACCGGCUAACUACGUG
This 466-nucleotide ribosomal RNA is filed under the name uncultured bacterium. RNAcentral describes it as "partial 16S ribosomal RNA". It matches the Rfam family "Bacterial small subunit ribosomal RNA", at positions 28 to 507 of the family's 1533-position model. The record is from RNAcentral.